CUGUGCACUUGUUCAACUGGCUAUACCGUUCACUUUGGCAUUUGAGAAGGAUCUAUCACACAUUUGAAAAAGGAAGAAAAGGAGCCUGGGAGCCCCAUUUGAUGAUGAUACAAUAUAUAUAGACUCAAUUGGGGUGCCCGGAGGCGUCCCUGAUGACUUUAAGGCUAGAAAUCAAUUUCUGCAGGAUUUGAAUCUCUAUUCUGGUGGGUGACAAUUAACAAAAGUGAAGAUUGGAUAAGCUACAUCUAUUACAAUCAGCAGAGAUUUAUAAACUAUUCAAAGGAGGCAAUAAAGGGAAUUGCAGAACAAUUGGGUGCUACAAGCAGGAUGACCUGUUGCCAUAUAGAAUAGGAUCGCCCUAGACAUGAUACUAGCUGAAAAAGGGUGUGUGUGUGUAAUGUUGGGCACUCAUUGCUAUACUUGUAUUGCAAAUAACACAGCCCCAGAUAGCACGAUAACUAGAGCAUUACGGGGCUUACUACUCUUGCUAGUGAAUUAGCCGAAAACUCUGGAAUAGAUAGCUCCCUCACUGGGUGUUUGGGGUUCUAGUUUGGCAAAGGGAAAGGGAUGAUUGUAUCCAUAUUUACUUCUUUGACUGUGGUAGCAGGAGUCCUGACGGCCAUCGGUUGCUGUAUUAUCCCCUGCGUGGGGGGGUUGGUGCAGCGAUUAAUAGAAACUGCGCUGCUGAAGCAAACAGUAGUGGAACCAUCACCGUACUCGGAUAAAAUAAUGAUAUUAGACGAAAUGGAAAAUGAAGAAAGUGAAGAGGUCUUUAGAAUCGUACUUUAAAAAGGGGAGAAUUGCAGAAACAACAUUCCAUUUCCCACACUCAUCACCUUCCUUAAGCACUGAUUGCUGUAUAUUUUUAUACGUAUAUAAAUAUGUGUGGAGUGCUGUUGCUCAUCGGAUGAUCAGGCUUUUCUUGGUCAAGCACCACUCUUUGUUUUCCGGCCCUUGCAAAUUCUCCCCGCUAGGUGGAGGGAAAGGAAUGUGCGGGGUCCGGAGGAGUUGAGGUAGCCCCUUUCCUUCACUGCUGUAAUUUUAACUGAACAGUGUAGGUUACUUACUGAAUAGCAGCGUUGCUCAUCGUAACACUUAAGACAUUAUGGAUUUAUCUUUUUUUGUAAUGGUUUAGUGGGGUAACCCGUUAAGAAUUCGCCACUGAGAUGAUUCUCUGCUUUUCUUGGUUGUUAACUUGUGGUCAGAAAAUCUCAGAAUAGGCACUCAGUGCCAGUGUUGAGUGCAUAUGUUGAUAAACAUAUAUAGAGUAUGAGAACAAAUUUAGCAACAAAUUUAACAACAAAAAGUCGUAUUUCUCUUUAGUGGUCAUGCAUUGAAAUGAAGUAUACUUAAAUAUAUAAAUGUAAGUGAAUGUAACUGGGAUAGUACCAAUGUAAUUGCUUUUCCCAGUUGCUAUGGCUGAUGCAAAUCUAAUUGACAUGUAGUGUGGAUGGACAGAGAGAGAGAGACAUAUUCUGCUCAGCCUUCCCGCCCCUCAACCUUUUCCCCCUUCUCCAACUUCUUCCCUUGGCUCCCUUCUUCAGCCUGGCCAUGCUCACAAGUCCCUGCACAGGAAAAUAAUGAACAACAGAACAGGUAAAACAAAUUAAUGACCAUAAAUCCGUCUUGUACUCGGGACUGAAUGAACUCAUAGCACAGCCCUGGUUCAACUGACCAUGUGCCUAAAAGGCGAUCUAUGAAUAUAAGUCAG
Molecule: long non-coding RNA, 1711 nt
Filed under: Chrysolophus pictus (golden pheasant)
Lineage: Eukaryota; Metazoa; Chordata; Aves; Galliformes; Phasianidae
Description: lncRNA (ENSCPIG00010013592.1)
Source: RNAcentral